Hippocampus comes (tiger tail seahorse) is the source of this 257-nucleotide long non-coding RNA. RefSeq lists it as uncharacterized. The record is from RefSeq and is a predicted model, not a curated record. The transcript has 3 exons. NCBI's taxonomy places the organism in Eukaryota, Metazoa, Chordata, Actinopteri, Syngnathiformes, Syngnathidae.
CUGGAGGAGUUCAUGUGAUGCUUCCCCAGGCACAUGCGCCAGAGCGAGAUUUGGUUGAGGGGGCUGGAAGUCAUUUUACGCCAUGAAACAGUGGGCAGCUGUUAGGAUCCAUUCCUCGUGGAUCAAUGAACCUCCACAGCCGUGCAUGUAAGGGAUGGGAGACAUCGGCGAAGCCUGCGGAGGAAACAAUAUAUGUCCAUACAGCUGGACCUUGUUACCUGCAUGGAGACUUGCCAAGGCCAGGAGUGAGGUACUGC